RNAcentral lists this ribosomal RNA (479 nucleotides) under uncultured bacterium. RNAcentral describes it as "bacterial SSU rRNA". It matches the Rfam family "Bacterial small subunit ribosomal RNA", at positions 355 to 850 of the family's 1533-position model. The record is from RNAcentral.
UGGGGAAUCUUGGACAAUGGGCGCAAGCCUGAUCCAGCCAUGCCGCGUGAGCGAUGAAGGCCUUAGGGUUGUAAAGCUCUUUCACCGGUGAAGAUAAUGACGGUAGCCGGAGAAGAAGUUCCGGCUAACUCCGUGCCAGCAGCCGCGGUAAUACGGAGGGAACUAGCGUUGUUCGGAAUUACUGGGCGUAAAGCGUGCGUAGGCGGCUUUGCAAGUAGAGGGUGAAAUCCCAGAGCUCAACUCUGGAACUGCCCCCUAAACUGCAGAGCUAGAAUCCUGGAGAGGUGAGUGGAAUUCCGAGUGUAGAGGUGAAAUUCGUAGAUAUUCGGAGGAACACCAGUGGCGAAGGCGGCUCGCUGGCCAGAUACUGACGCUGAGGUGCGAAAGUGUGGGGGAGCAAAACAGGAUUAGAUACCCUGGUAGUCCACACCGUAAACGAUGAAUGCCAGUCGUCGGGUAGCAUGCUAUUCGGUGACACA